AGAGUUUGAUCAUGGCUCAGAUUGAACGCUGGCGGCAGGCCUAACACAUGCAAGUCGAGCGGAUGAAGGGAGCUUGCUCCUGGAUUCAGCGGCGGACGGGUGAGUAAUGCCUAGGAAUCUGCCUGGUAGUGGGGGAUAACGUCCGGAAACGGGCGCUAAUACCGCAUACGUCCUGAGGGAGAAAGUGGGGGAUCUUCGGACCUCACGCUAUCAGAUGAGCCUAGGUCGGAUUAGCUAGUUGGUGGGGUAAAGGCCUACCAAGGCGACGAUCCGUAACUGGUCUGAGAGGAUGAUCAGUCACACUGGAACUGAGACACGGUCCAGACUCCUACGGGAGGCAGCAGUGGGGAAUAUUGGACAAUGGGCGAAAGCCUGAUCCAGCCAUGCCGCGUGUGUGAAGAAGGUCUUCGGAUUGUAAAGCACUUUAAGUUGGGAGGAAGGGCAGUAAGUUAAUACCUUGCUGUUUUGACGUUACCAACAGAAUAAGCACCGGCUAACUUCGUGCCAGCCGCCGCGGUAAUAC
Molecule: ribosomal RNA, 523 nt
Filed under: uncultured bacterium
Lineage: Bacteria
Description: bacterial SSU rRNA
Rfam family: Bacterial small subunit ribosomal RNA
Source: RNAcentral